RNAcentral lists this ribosomal RNA (253 nucleotides) under uncultured bacterium. RNAcentral's name for it is "partial 16S ribosomal RNA". It matches the Rfam family "Bacterial small subunit ribosomal RNA", at positions 524 to 776 of the family's 1533-position model. The record is from RNAcentral.
UACGUAGGCAGCGAGCGUUGUUCGGAGUUACUGGGCGUAAAGGGUGUGUAGGCGGCUUGUCGCGUCGACUGUGAAAUCCCGCGGCUCAACUGCGGGUCUGCAGUCGAUACGGGCAGGCUAGAGUUCGGUAGGGGAGACUGGAAUUCCUGGUGUAGCGGUGAAAUGCGCAGAUAUCAGGAGGAACACCGAUGGCGAAGGCAGGUCUCUGGGCCACUACUGACGCUGAGAAGCGAAAGCAUGGGGAGCGAACAGG